UCAUGCAUCACAGCCAAGAGUCUAAACAGAUGUGACUGAUCACCAGAAUGUUAAAGAGUGUGUCUCGGGUUCCAGGGAAGCAAGAGAACGUUAUGAAAUGUGACUGGGGGCUGGGAGUGUAUCUCUGCUGUGCUGACCAUGUGUGCGGCUUCAGGCGGCUGCUCCCUGUGAAGCAUUUCAUUGGAAACGCACGGGGCCUCAGUUAUCAUCUGUUGAAAGGAUUACAAGCUCCACACAGUCUGGUGCAAAACAAUUCGCAACUGCUUUCAUUCAGAGGAAGGCCUCAAAAACAUUUUCCCGUCGAUCAGUAGUGCAACGACCAAGGUUACUGAUAACACAGAAACAUUCUUGGAAAAUGUCAAAACCCCAAUAACAAUAUACUAUAUUAUUUACACAAGCUAGACUAGCAACCUUCCUUCACCUCUGCUUGUCCUUUCUUUUCAAUGGAUAUAUAGUACAAUGGUAACCGCCCACUGUUUUAUAGUGGCUGUGGUAUUUUUUCACAUUAAAUUUUCUCCAUUAUGAUUUAAAAACAAAACAAAACAAAAAAUCUACAUUUAAAAUAAUAAUAAUCUUAAUAAUUAAAUUCAUUAAUGAGGUAAUUAACUACUCAUCCCAUGAAACAUAGUAAAUGACAUAAUAGAUCAAAGUAAUAGUAUUAAAUAAAAAUAGUUUUAUACUCGUUCAUUAUAAGUAUUAGAAAAAUAUAUUUUGAUAUAGUUUAUUAUAAAAUUCAAAGAGUUGGUAUGUCGGUUAGAGUUUGUAAUGUGCUUUAAAGUCUUUUCUGCUCACCAAGGCUGCAUUUAUUUGAUUAAAAAAUACAGUAAAAGCAAGAAUAUUGUGAAAUAUUAUUACAAUUUAAAAUAACCAUUUUCUAUUUGAAUAUAUUUUACAAGGUAAUUUAUUACUGUGAUCAAAGCUGAAUUUUAAGUAUGACUAUUUUCCAAUCCAAUUUUAAAGCAACAUUUUAGCAAAGGCUCAUGUUCAAAGUCUCCUAGAGUUACUGUAAACGGUUGAGUUUUACUGUUUUCGAAUCCAUUCAGCCGAUCUCUGGGUGGUAGCACUUUUAGCUUAGCUUAGCAUAAAUCAUUGAUUCUGAUUAGACCGUUAGCAUCUCACUCAAAAAUGACCAAAGAGUUUCGAUAUAAUUCCUAUUUAAAAGUCGGCUGUGUGUGUGUGUGUGUGUACAAAUAAACAAGUUUUUAAUAUUAUAUAAUAUAUUUAAUAUUAUGUUUUAAUAAACAUUAUUUCUUAUUAUUAUUAAUGUUGAAAACACUUGUUAAGUGUUUAAUAUUUGUGGAAACUGUGAUACAUUUCAAGUCUUUGAUGAAGAGAAAGUUAAAA
Molecule: long non-coding RNA, 1344 nt
Filed under: Carassius auratus (goldfish)
Lineage: Eukaryota; Metazoa; Chordata; Actinopteri; Cypriniformes; Cyprinidae
Description: lncRNA (ENSCARG00000067098.1)
Source: RNAcentral